This 20453-nucleotide long non-coding RNA is filed under the name Populus tremula. RNAcentral's name for it is "long non-coding RNA (PTRE_LNC000292)". The stretch from base 9353 to 9509 matches the Rfam family "MIR2912 microRNA precursor family". The record is from RNAcentral. Lineage: Eukaryota; Viridiplantae; Streptophyta; Magnoliopsida; Malpighiales; Salicaceae.
CAAAUUUCCUAGAAAACAAACAAAAUAUGUAAAUAAUAAAGUCAUUUCACACUUCACCUUCAUUGUUCCCCAGUGGAAUUUACCAGACUCCUCUUCCUAUUCCUCGAUUCGUAGCCAUCACUUUUUAAAACCCACCAAGCAACAAAAGAAGCAGCCAAAGUCAACAAUAACUUGAAGAAUCGUGCUUUCAAAAUAGAGACCUGCGAGAGAAGAAAAAUGCGAGAUAGCCAGAGAGGCAGAAGCGAGGUUGGCUAUGAAAAGGGCUUUGGUAGACAUCGAGAGAGAAAGGGGGUGUAGGUUGUGAGAGAGAAUUUUUAGAAUUGAGUUUUUUUUAAGACACUUCUCUAUUUAUACUUCUGUUAAGUUAAUAAUAUUUUUAAGUUUUUGAUUCAACAAUUCUGGUUCGAUCUAAUUCAAUCAGUUUCGGGUUUUUUAAACUAAAACAAAAACAGAAUUGAUUUUUUUUGUUUUCUAAUAGGUUUUUUUUUUUGUUUUUUAGUUUAAUAAGUUUUUUUCUCAUCCCUGAUUAAAAUACUAUCCAUUCACUAUGCAUGUUUUUUUAAGUUUUCUAUGUAGCUCUAGUUAAUAUUUGCAAUUGAGUUCCUAGUUUUAAUAAUCUUUGCAUUUGAGUAACAAUAUUUCAUUAUAUUCUUGUUUUUUAUGAUCUUUAUGACACCAUUUGCCUAUACAUUACGUUAAGAUUGCUAUAAAAAAAUUCCUCUGCUUUUGUAGGGUCUGGAUUGGGAUCUCCUUUUCGUGUAAUUAAGAUCAAGCAAUGUAUAUAUAUAUAUAUAUAUAUAUAUAAUCUUAACGUAAUGUAUAGGCAAAUGGUGUCCGGUGCUAUUAAGCCUAUAUGGUGCUUGUGAUGAUCCAAAUCCUGGAAUGGGUACAAUUGAGACCACCCCACACACUGAGAUUCACUACUGGACCGGCGACCCCAAUCAACCUAAACGGGAAAAUAUGGACAAUUUCUACUCAGCAGGGAGAGAUCCCAUAUUUUAUUGUCAUCACUCGGAACGUCGAAGAAGCUAUGACACAAUUAGCCAAACCAGCAGAUUCAUGACUUAAAUCAACACUAACCUCUAGAACCAAGCAGCUUCGAUUCAAAAUUUAAAGGUUCAAGUUAGUCAAGUAGCCAACAUGCUCACGAGUAGACAACGAGAAAAUCUACCAGCACAACCGAAAUCAACCCUAAGGAACAAUGCAAGGCCAUAACUUUAAGAAGUGGAAAAGAAGUAUAAGAUACUGCUGGAAACAAAAAUGUAAGCAAUGAUGAAGAGGAGCAGUUAGCCAGACCUCUUCAAAGCAUGAAGAAGUCUGAAACUCUACCAGAACCAACACAAGAAAUGAUACCGAGAAAUAUAUUUCCUCAGCGACUCAAGAAGAAUAAGCUUUAUAAGAAAUUUUUUAAAUUUCUUGAUGUGUUCAAAAAACUGCAAAAUAACAUUCCUUUUGCAAAUGCUCUAUAACAAAUGCCAAGUUAUGUGAAAAUUUUAAAGGACAUCCUAUCAAACAAAAGGAAGCUAGAGAAAUAUGAGACGGUUGCUCUCAUUGAAGAAUACAAUGCAAUUUUGCUAUACCAUGUUCCAUUGGAAAUGCUAUAUUUGAAAAAGCUCUAUAUGAUUUAGCUGCAAGUAUUAAUCUUAUACCUUUAUCUAUUUUUAAGAAACUUGGUUUUGGUGAAGCAAGGUAAACCACAGUAACACUGCAAUUGGUUGACCGAUCAUUAAAGCAUCCAAGAGAAAUAAUCGAAGAAGUUCUGGUAAAAGUGGACAAGUUCAUCUUUCUAGCCAACUUCAUCAUACUAGAUAUGGAAAAGGAUAAUGAGAUUCCUAUCUUGCUUGGCCGAUCAUUCUUGGCCAUUGGAGUUUUGAUUGAUAUGAAAAAAAGGGGAGCUACGGUUAAGGGUGAAUGAAGAGGAGGUAAUUUUUAAUGUGUUCAAAGCCAUCAAACAUCCAGAUAGAGGGGAUAAUUGCUUCAGCAUUCAAGUGCUAGACUCCUUAAUUAGUGACAGAGUCAAGCAUCCAAGUGACUGGUUGGAAGCAUGUCCGGUAAACAAUCCAAGUUGAUAGUGGUAAGGGAUGUAGAUAAUAAGUUGAUACCUACUCGAACUGUGACUAAAUGAAGGAUUUGCAUGGACUACCAAAAGCUCAACAAAGCCACUCACAAAGAUCAAUUUCCCUUACCAUUUAUUGAUUAGAUGUUGGAUAGGUUGAUUAGGCAUGAAUAUUAUUAUUUCUUAGAUGGUUAUUUGAAUACAAUCAAAUAGCUAUCGUGCUUGAGGACCAAGAGAAGACCCAUUUCACCUGCCUUUAUGGUACUUUUUUUUUUAGAAGGAUGUCUUUUGGGCCAUACAAUACACCAGCACCUUUUAGAGGUGCAUGAUGGCUAUCUUUUUAGAUAUGGUUGAGUAGAUUAACGAGGUCUUCAUGGAUGAUUUUUUCGUAUUUGGAACUUCUUUUGACGAUUGCCUUACAAAGUUAGCUUUGGUUUUGGAACGUUGUGAAAAAUUAACUUGAUAUUGAAUUAGGAAAAAUGUCGCUUCAUGGUAAAGGAAGGUAUAGUGUUGGGGCAUUGGAUUUCAACAAAAGGAAUAGAAGUACAUAGAGUUAAUAUUAAGGCAAAACACAAGCUUCUGCCACCAAUAAAAGUAAAGGGUAUUAGGAGUUUUCUUGGACAUGCUGGAUUUUAUAGAAAGUUCAUCAAAGACUUCUUUAAAAUCUCUAAACCUCUAUGCAAUUUGCUGAUAAAGGAAACACAGUUUCAGUUUGAAGAGAAUACAAGAAAGCCUUUUUUUUGCAGGUAAGAUCAUCCCUCCAAAUUUUUCUUACCAACAAAAGAAAAGAUUUCUUGUUGAGGUCAAACACUAUUUCUAGAAAGAGCCGAUACUCUAUCGGCACUACACAAAUCAGGUUAUCAGGAGGUGUGUUCCAGAAAAGGAGAUGACAAACAUGUUAAAGCACUGCCACACACUUGAAUAUGAAGGGCACUUUGGAGCAUAACACACUACAACCAAAGUCCUUUAGCUUGGUUUUUAUUGGCCUACUAUGUUUGAGGAUGCUUAUGCUUUUGUUACAACCUGUGAUAGAUGUCAGCAUAUUGAGAAUAUAUCUAGAAGAAAUGAAAUGCCAUUGCAGAAUAUCCUAGAAGUUGAGUUAUUUGACGUUUAGGGCAUUGAUUUCAUAAGAUCUUUUCCUUUAUCCUACAACAACAAAUACAUUCUCUUAGCAAUGGAUUAUGUAUCAAAGUGGAUAGAGGCAGUUUUAACGCCUACAAAUGAUGGUAAAAUGGUGCCUAAUUUUCUACGAAAGAACAUCUUUACAUAUUUGGUACUCCUAGAGCCAUCAUUAGUGAUGAAGGGACUCACUUUUAUAACAAGCAGGUUGAAGCACUUUUGUCUAAAUAUGGAGUCAAAUAGAAAGGUGGAGAAGAUUAUAGAAAAAACAGUUAAUAACUCUCAAAAAGAUUGGGAAGAAAGUUAGAUGAUGCAUUGUGGGCUUAUCAAACAACAUUCAAAACAAUAAUGGGAAUGUCUUCAUAUCAAUUAGUCUUUGGAAAAGCAUGCCAUCUCCCUAUUGAAUUAAAGCAUAAGGCAUAUUGGGUAAUGAAACAACUUAACAUGGAUAUGCAGGCUGUAGGUAAGAAAAGAAUCCUGCAAAUCAAUGAGAUAGAUGAAUUUCACAAUGAGUCAUAUGAGAAUGCCAAAAUAUACCAGGAAAGAAUCAAGGCAUGGCAUGGCAUGACAAGCAUGUUGCACAUAAGGAGUUUGUCCCUGGUCAACAGAUAUUAGUCUUCAAUUCAGGGCUUCAAUUGUUUCCUGGUAAGCUUAAAUCACAAUGGUUAGGAUUGCUCAUAGUUGUUAAGGUGUUUUCUUAUGGAGCAGUGGAGGUCACUUAUGAUGAGUGUUACUACCCAAUUUUUUACCCAUGUUUUGAUAAAUUUUCAGAAAAAUCCAAAAAUAGCAAAAGAACAUCGAAAAUCCAAAAAAUACAUUUUUAAUAUAUUUGCAUCGUUUUUAGCAUUUUCAGUGUCGUCUAAAAAGAAUUUAAAUUUUCAAAGGUCUUUCGAACACAUUCAACUUUUCACGCGUCAUUUUUAAAAUCAUUAAUUUUCCUCAUUGAGUCGACGUUGAUAUUGUUUGUUUUCAAAAAAUAUAAAAAAAUUAAGAAAAAUCAAAUUUACAAAAAGAAAGAAGUUGAGGGACCAAGUUUGGAGACCUAACAACAUAUGUGCCUAUAAAUAGGAGUUUCCAAUACUUGCACAAUGGGGGGUAAUUUUGCAAAAUAAAGAGAAAACACAAAAAAAAAACCCUAACCCUAAAAAUCCCUCUCCUUCAAACCAGCCGCCCCCCCACUGGUUUUUUUCUUCUUCUUCCUUGGCCACCCACUACGGUCAUCUUCAUCAAACAAAGAACCCAUCCCCUUCUCCGGCCGCACUCCCAUUCAGAGACAAACCAGCCACCCUCUCUCACUACAGCCCCCAUCGCCACUGCCAUCUCCCAAAACCAACAUCCUUGAAGCGUUUCGUCUGCUCUUUCAACCACAGAAACCAGCCCCCCCCCUUUCCUCUCAUCUUCUCCACCCGUCCAAACAAAAAGAGAAGCGCCUCCCCCCUUAGAUUUGGUUUUCUUCUUCCUUCAAUCGACUAAGCCUUCCCUCAGCAAAAGAGAACCAAACAAUACCACAACAUCUCUGCCUCCCUGCUCAACAACUGUUCCCAUCUCCACCGCAGCUUCUCCCCGCAAACCCACGAUCUUCAUUGUCAGCCGCAGCAGCUCCGUCCUUACCGGAGAUCCACCAGCCCACACAUGAAAGCUCCUGGCCAACACUCUCCUCUCCAAAACGAAGCUAGCCGAACGAACGACAACAGCAAGAGCCUCACGGACGACAGCAGCAAGGCCGACCACCGCUGCCACCAAUAGGAGUGAAGACCAUCAAUGUAGCGACCACCACCGACAACUCCCUCCACAACCGUCGGCCAUCUGAAAUAGAAGAAGAGGAAACAAAAAAAAUCUACAAAGAGGAGUAGAUUUGAAAAGGAGAAGGGAGAGAAGCAUAUCUAGAAAAAAAAAUUAAAAUCAACUGCCAUUUGUUGCGUUUCUUGGAUUUACAAGUGAUGGGGUCCUCACGGGCAGCAGGAAAUUGAAGAGGGGAGGAAGCCAUUAUAGCCCCCUCGCGCUGUCUGGAUUUCACGGCGGCGUGUGAACCCACGCGCCGCUAGUGGCGGUGGCGCAUGGAGGAGACGCGCCGCCACUAUUCCUGCAGUUUCAGAGUGUCUUCCCUACAAUUUCUAGAAUUUUUAGGGGUUAUUUUGUAAAUUUGAAAUUGUGUAAUGUAAUUUUUGCUUAGUUGUUUUGAAUUUGUAUUUUGAAGUCUAGAUGGAAAAGGAAAAAAAGAAAAAGAAAAGAAAAGGGAAAAUAUAGUAAAAGUGUAUGAGUGUGUUUGUGUGCUUUUCAUGGAUGUUUUUAUUAUUAUGAUAAAAUUGCAAAGAUUAAAGAAUAAUUUAAUAUUUUGAUUGGAUCACGGUCAAGAAUUAUUAACUUAUACGUAAGUUGUAUUUCUGAUAUCCGAUGAAAAGAUAAAAAUUUUAAAACUUCUUUAACACGUCAAAGUCACGAAGCAGCUUACCUCAGGUAGGGUGUGUUAGGGGUGCUAAUACCUCUCCUAACCACAUCCAGUCCCUUACCCACGAAUCUCUGACAAGACCAGUACAUCCGGGUUUCCUAGUAGCCCUCAAAUAAAUACUAGGUGGCGACUCCCAACGAACAAAUCAAUUCAAGCAAAUGCAUAACUAAACAAAAAAUCGCCAGUCGAUGCCGCGCGGGUGACGUGCAACAAUAAGAAGGGAACAUUCAUAGUAAAUGGGCAACGUCUAAAGCAUUAUAGGAAUGGGGAGUCAAUUGGUAAAAAGGAUGAUAUUCCUUUUACCACAUCCUAACAAUAUGGUACAAUCAAGCUUUUGACUAUAACUAAGCGUUGAUUGGGAGGUAACCCAACACACACACAAAAUUACCUUUCUUUGUUUGAUUAAGUUGUGCAGGGAUGGAACAUGCACGCAGAUAACUAUUUGAAAACACAACUCACCCUUGCCUAGCUAAAAGAGAAGUAUUUGUAUACCUUUCUAGUCUUUCCUUUCCCAUUAUGAUAAAUUUAAAUUUAAGUUUGGGAGGAUAUUCAACUAUGGCUAUGAAAAUAGAGGGUGAAUUUGAUAUGCAUUUAAGAUCAGCUUUGACACUUUUAGGUGCUUUAUUAUGUUAUGCAUGACAUUUCUUUGCUUAGAAUAGACAAUAUCUUAUAAAGUGGGAUUAAAUAUGAUUAUUUUCUUUGGAAUUAUUGAAGUACACCUUUCCUUGCAAAGUCAUAUGAGUUGUGUGGUUAUGCAUAAAAUAUAAAUGUGAUGUUUUUCUUGUUAUUGCCCCCUUUCAUCUAAAACUAAAACAAGGUUUAUGUAAACAAGAGUGAUAAUAUUAUGAAAUGAAAUAAAUGAUUAUAUGAAGUUUAUCUACUCCAAUGUUUUGAGUUCUUUAUUAACUAGAGGUAUUUGUUACACGUGUGCGGCAUCGCAGCAAAAACAUCUACCCUUAAGAUUUUAUCUAAUGUGGAAAAUAUGGGGAGACAAGGAAUUCUUGUCUUUUAUUAGUGGAAAAAUUGGAAUGGGAGUCGCCACCUAGUAUUUUGGUAACUAGGACCCUUAACUGGUCACAGAGAUCAGGAACCGGGACUAGUUGCGUAAAGGGAAGGUUUUAGCACCCUAAAUACGCCCUACCUAAGGUAGGCUACAUUGUUUAAUUGUUUGAUAAAAUCUAAGGUCUUGUUGUGUUUUCUAGUUGUUGGUCCGUCUAAGGUUUAAGAAAAGUCCUCAUCGGUAAGGAGAUCCUUAUCUUAUCGAAUAAAACCUAACUGUUCUAACGUCUACAAAAGAAUUUAAUAUCCGGAAUACGUCUUAUAUGUAAGGUCGUAACCCCAGAUAUUAAAAGAAAACAAAAUAAUUUAUUUGGACUUUUGAAGUAUUGUACUAGUUCUCGUGACUUUAAUAAACUAGUUAUUAAAGCCAAAAUGCAUACUAAUACAUAUUUUUGAAAUUUUCUUUGUUGUAUGAAAAUACAAUAUGAAUUUUUUUUAGAGAGAGAGACUUAGUCGUAUGCACGAAAACAAAACAUUUAAUUUUUUUAAUUUUUUUUUAUGAAAACCAGGUAUUUUAAUACCGGAUUUGUAUCUUUACAAUAUAAAAAUACAAACCAAUAUCGAUCAAAAUACAGUAAAAAUAUACGAGAAAUAAAAAAAAUUCAAAAGAUUUUUGAAUUUUUUUUUAUUGGCCAGCUCGGCCCAUGUGGCCGGGCUAAACCCAAAAGGGGUAACCGGGUCACUGGCUUGGGCCAGUGACCGGGCUGGGAAAACAAAAGGCACCCUUACUGAUUAGUACUUAAAAGUGCAUAUUUAUCAAGGUUUUAUAUCAUCAUUUUGCACUUGAAGUAUCAAUAACUCCUUAACUAAAGCAUGUUUUAUAAUAACAAGUCUGAUACUAUAAGAUACCUUAAUAUAUAGUAAAUGUUCAUCUUAAAUACAAGCCUAUCACAUAAAUCAAAGGAUUGAUUGAUGAAUUCAACUACUGAAAUUGUGAAGAUAAAGAUAGGGUGAAGCUUAGAAAAGAGAUGUUGGUGCAGUCCAAACUAGAACACUGUUCGGUAAUUCGGUCAUAUUUCAAGUUCUAGAUGUCCAAAUGACCUCAAUUUUUUAGACAGAUUCGGUAAGACAUAGGCCUACAACUUUCAUGUGGAGUCCAAGAUUUAAAAAGGUUGUUUUCAAGUCCAAAUUAUAGCAACAACAGAGAAGUCCGCAUCUGUCCUGCAACCCGGACACUGUUUAGUAAUCAGCCCAUAUCUCGAGUUCUAGAAGUCCAAAUGACCUCAAUUGUUUUUCCUGGAAAGCUGAGACAAUUUCCUAGAACUUUAAUGAGUAAAGGUGGUUCCAAUUCUGACGUUAGCAAUGACGUUUUAUUCAGAUAAGAAGAUAAGGAUUAUAACCAAGUCAAGAUGUGGCCACCCACUCAACAAUUAUUCAUCAAAUCAAUAGUUCUAAAUUUUGGCCUAUAAAAGGAGGCAUUUGCCAUGCAUUUAGACAUCUUGGUGUUCAGAUCAAGAUCAUUCUCUUGCUCUCUUUCUUUGUAUUUUGUAAUGUUUAAGUUUUAUUUGAUGUUAUAUUAAUCUCUUGUUUAUGCUUUUCAUUUCCUUUCCUUUAUUUAUAUAAUUAUGUUCUUAUCUUGUUUAUUUAUGUUUCUUUCUUUCAUUAUGUUUAGCUAAAUCUAUUAUGUCAAGGUAAAAAGGUUACACUAAUAACAACAAUAACGACAAGAAUAAUAAUAAUAAUAAUAACAAUAAUUAGUAGUAGUAAUAAUAAUAGUAGUAAUACUAAUACUAAUACUAAUACUAAUAAUAACAAUAAUAGUAAUAAUAGUAGUAGUAGUAAUGAUAUUAAUAAUAGUAAUAGUAAGGAUUAAACAAUAAUAAAAACAAAUGUCAAGGUUAGAGAUCCACUAAUAGUAAUUCAAACAAGUAUAGUAUAAACUCUUAUUACUCAACUGGAAACCACACACAAAGGAGGUUCCAAUCAGAUUAUAAUUGUUAACAUGAUUACAUUAAUUAUCUUAUUCGAGUAAUGCCAAUACUUGUAAAUAUUAUAAGGUAUUCAUGGUGAUAACUUAUGUUAACAACAAAUCAAGUUCCUUUCAUAGCACAAGUGUCGGUUAUACUAUGAAAGUGCCAAGCAUUUAUUGUACCAAGGGUUGUUCAACACAAAUCUAAAUGAACCAUUUAACAAGCAAGGUAUUAAGAGUGAGCAAGAUAAUAAAUAUAAAACAUGUUAAUAUCAAGCAUUAAAGUCCAUGUUGAGUUUAUAUUAUACUUAUUCUUACACCAUAAGUGUAACUUUUUCACCUUGACAUAAUAUAUUUAGCUAAACAUAAUGAAAGAAAGAAACAUAAAUAAACAAGAUAAGAACAUAAUUAUACAAAUAAAGGAAAGGGAAUGAAAAGCAUAAACAAGAGAUUAAUAUAACAUCAAAUAAAACUUAAACAUUACAAAAUACAAAGAAAGAGAGCAAGAGCAUGAUCUUGAUCUGAACACCAAGAUGCCUAAAUGCAUGGCAAAUGCCUCCUUUUAUAGGCCAAAAUUUAAAACUAUUGAUUUAAUGAAUAAUUGUUGAGUGGGUGGCAUAUCUUGACUUGGUGCAAAUCCUUAUCUUCUUAUCUGAAUAAAACGUCAUUACUAACAUCAGAACUGGAUCCACCUAUACUGUGAAAGUUCUAGGAAAUCCUCUUAGCUUUCCAGGAAAAAAAAAUUAAGGUCAUUUGGACUUCUAGAACUCGAGAUAUGGGUUGAACACUGAACAGUGUCCGGGCUGCAGGACAGAUUCGGACUUCUCCAUUGUUGCUACAAUUUGGACUUGAAAACGGCCUUUUUAAAUCUUGGACUCCAUAUGAAAUUUGUAGGCCUAUGUCUUACCGAAUCUGUCUAAAACAUUAAGGUCAUUUAGACAUCUAGAACUUGAGAUAUGACCUAAUUACCGAACAAUGUUCUAGUUUGGACUGCACCAACAUCUCUUUUCUAAGCUUCACCCUCUCUUUAUGUUCACAAUUUCAGUAGUUGAAUUCAUCAAUCAAUCCUUUGAUUUAUGUGAUAGGCCUGCACUUAAGAUGAACAUUUACUAUAUAUUAAGGCAUUUUAUAGUAUCAGACUUGUUAUUAUAAAACAUGUUUUAGUUGAGUUAUUGAUACUUCAAGUGCAAAAUGAUGAUAUAAAAUCUUGAUAAACAUGCACUUUUAAGUACUAAUCAUUAUGCAAAUGGAAGUAGUUAUUGUUCAAGUGAAUUAUAAUUCACUUGAACAGUGAAAAUGCAAAAAUGGAAUUGCAUGCACAUAGACAAAGAGAACAAACUUGGUGGUAGAAACGAUGUCGAAGAUGAUGGUAAUGGCAUACGCUCACAGUGAUGCUGGUGGUGGAGAGGAAGCCGACAAUGGCUCACAGUGGUUAUGAUGGUGGCAGGCAGUGUUUGCUGCAGUUUUUCAUCUUUUUCCCAGUGCAGAGACACCAGCCUCUAUUUUUUUCUUCCUCAUCUGCCUCUGUUUAGUUCUUCCCUUUUUUGUCUCUGUUUUUCGUUCUUUUCAAAAGAUUUCCCACCCUCUCUUUUCUUCCUCCUUCUAUGUCUUAUGUCUGUCUUUUUCCUGCGUUUCCCCCUAUUCUGCUCUCCUCUCUUCCCUCUCUAUUUUUCUUCUCCAUGUCCGUGUAUUUCUACUCUUCACUUUGUAUUGCUUUGUACCAUGCCCUCUUUGUUUUGUUUUACUCUCCUUCUAUUCCACUCUUCCCCGUUUUCUUCCUUUUCUCUGUCGCAUCUUGCCUCCUCCUCCUCUUCUUCUCCUUUCCCGUUCCCCCCUACCUCAAUGCAGUACAUCCUCUGGCUUUUAUAGCCAGAGGAUGCAGGCAUUUUCCCUUUGUUGUUGCAGGGAUGGAGUAACGGUCGGCAUGCAUCAUGGUAGCCGUGAAACAUGCCCCCUUGAUUGAAGCAAAUCGCGCCUUCACCGCUGCAAACUUUUCUCGGCCAGCUCACUUAACAUCUUCUAAAGAAGACAGUAAACAGUGUUGAAUAAAAUGGCACCGUUUUGCAACUUUAAAUGAUAUUUCCUAUUUGAUCCUUGAAUGUUAAUGCAAUUUUGUAAUCAAGCCCCAGGAAAACUGUUAAUUAGAUCCCUUGAUUUUAGCGCCUUUUUCGGUUGGGUCCUUGGUUUUGGAUUGUUUCAAUUAACUCCCGAAUUGGCCAUCAAACUUUAAUAAUUAUGCUAUUAAGCCCCUAAUUUGGCCAAAUCAACUCUUCAAAAUUAUAAUUAACCCUAGAACUUUAAUUUCUUCCAAUAAAAGCCUAAAUUGACUUAAAAAUCAAUUUUUCUUGCAAUCAAACCCUCUAUAAAUUUAAUUAAACCUUAGAUAAAAUUUUAUUGAAUCCAUAAACAUCUAAUUUUGAAUAUAUUUUUAUUCUCAAAAUUGAAUUUUCUUUGUCAACAAGACUCUCAUCAGUUAACAAUAAACUAUCAAAUUUCAACCUUUUGCAUUUUUGAACCUCCUCAACCAAUUUUUGGUCAUUUUUCAGCAUUCUAACUUCCUUUUCUUGCUACUAUUAUUAUUUUUUGGAUUUCUUCGGAAUAGUUUUUUUAUAUUUCUUUUUUUUUUGUAUUUUUUUCAUUUAUGUCUGGGAACCCAAAAAUGGGUAACAACAAUAUUCAUCACAAAUAUUUACUUUAACAUCAAACGACAACUUGAAAUAUGAGUAUGCAAAGCACUUUAAGUUUGUGAUCUGUUAAAUAACUGGGUGCAUUUAUCACAAAUGUUUGUAUUCACGUCAAAAAACAAAUAACAAAUGUUAAGUAACCAGGUGCAUUAAUUGCAGGAUGAAUGUGCAUGAUUCAAUUAUGAUAGUCAUAUGAUACACUUGAUUAAGUUGGGAGUUUGUACAGAGGUUUAAACUAAAAAAAAAAAAGGAUGCUUAGUUUUCCUUUAUCUGAUAUUGUUUAUGAACUAAGUUAAGAGGUCAAUGCUUGCAUGAGGGAACCCUUGAAUAUUAAAAGUUGAACUUAUCUUAAGCAUUUUCCCUCUAUUUUCAUGGUUUUCUUUUUGCAUGAGGACAAGCAAACAUUUAAGUCUUGAGGGUAUUUGAUAAGAGAAUUUAUAACAUGCAUAUUUUCGAUUAUUCUUGUUUUAUUUUGUAAUAUUUCAUAUGUGUUGCACAAGUUAAUUAGGAUUUGGGAUGCCCUUUUGAACUAUUGACCUUGUGAAAAAUUAAUGUGUUUUCAAAUACUAAAUUACUAGAGUGGGCAUAAUCUAGAAUUAAAUCUGAGCACUGAUUGGUUUUUAGGUUGUAACGAGAGCAUACAACUCUGUUUCAAGCGUUCAUCACCAAUUUGAAAAUUUGAGACAUAGAUAUACAAAUCAUAUGAGAGCAUAAAACUCAGUUUUGCUAAUUUGAAGCCCAAAAAGUGAGUUAAAAGACAGAGUCAGAAUCAGACCCGAACUUCCUGUAAACCAGGCACUAUCUCAGGUUAUGGCCCAUAUAUCAAAUGUUAGAGGUCUAAAAAUUGCAAGAUCAACUUUGUUGGAAAGAAAAUUUGAAUUUAUACAAUUGCUCUAGAAAUAGAAGAGUUUUAUUUUGCACGUUUCCCACCCCAAAUUUGGCUUAUAAUAUUAAGAUAGGAAAGAAUAUGAGGCAAGGAGGAAACCAACACUCUUUCCAUUCUAAAAAAAAACAAGAAUAUAGGGACAUUCUUUUGAGAGUAGCGACAUCCAGAGAGUGGUACCCUAAAAUACACCCAAAAAAAAGAAGAGUGGUAUGAAGAAUAGACGAAAAUAGAGCAAAACAAAGGUGAAAAAAUCAAAAUAGAUUGGAAGACGUUCAACAGCUCUACUGCUAACCCCUACUCUUGAGUGAUAUUCAUUAUAUCAAGUUUGUUUCUCUUUAAUUUGGCUAUGAAUCUUAUUCAAGGAUUUUUUAUAUAACCUAACUAUGAAUAUGUGAGCAAUUUCUUUGAUUGAAUUAAUACACUAGUUGUUAAGUGUUUCGUUAUAUGCUUAACAUUUGUGUAUAUUUGGUCAACAUUUGCAUGAUUUACGAUUCAAUUUAAGACUGAGAAGUGAUAAUUGUUUUAGUCAUUGUUUAAAAUAUCUUAUGGAAUCUAUAGGAUAGAGUUAUCUUUAGAACUUUUGUAAUCAUUAAAAGUUUAAAGGUACUUAAUAAACUUUGACAAGUUCAAGAAUUUUGUAGAAUAUAUAAAGUUUGCUUGUUGAAAUAUUUCAUGGAUGCAUAGAGAUUAGUGUUUAAAUUAGGAAAACUUGAUUAUCAACAUUAAGAAUAAUUAAUUCAAUUGAGAAAAUUCACAUAGAUAUAUUUACAUUAAAAAUCUGAAAUCCUAGAAUCUAUUAGAAUUAAAUUCAAUACUACUUAAUUAAUUGGUUAUUACUUUUAAUUAUUAAUUUUUAUUUCAUAAAUUAUCUCAUUCAAUUCCUGCUUAUUUAAUUCCUCAAAUAAAUCACAAUUUAAAUUUUUUAAAAAUUAGUAAUAUUUUUUACAAAUUAUUGAGGGACAAUACACUACUCAUUCAUUAUUUUAUUACUUGUUACAUUCAUGCACCUGCAAAAUAAACCAACGGUCUGGUGGUGAUCUUGUUACCAUUGAUGUUGUCAGGAUUGGGCUCUGCUACCAUUUUCUUUUCUUUUGUCCUUUUUGCUUUUUCUUGUUUUUUUCUGUUUCCAUGUUAGAAUUCGGUGAGUCUUGUCUCUCUUCUUUAAAGAUGUUCAAUUAAUUCGGUGAGUCUUUUUUAGAUUUGAUCACCCAAAAUCACGUGAAAGUGAUUUUUCGCAUGUUUUCUCUUUUAUAUAUAUAAACUAUCUUCCUCCAAACUUCCGACCAUAGAUGUACCAUAGUUAGUGGUUAAAAUAAUAAAAUAAAUAGAGAUGAUAACAUAUUAGACAUUAUAUUUUAAAAAAAAAUAUCAAGAAAUUAAUCUAAUUUAAUUUAAAAAAUUAAAAAGAAACUAAACCCAAUAAAGAAAGAAAUGUAAAAAGACCUGAGAUCUUUUUAAAAUUUGUUAAAAAUCCUAUAUAAAGAAAACAAAUACAAAGUCCAAUAUCUAAGUAAAUCAAAUGUCAAAAUAUAAAAUUAAAAAACAUGAUUAAAAAACAACAACAAAUAAUCUUGAACGAAUCUCCUAAACUUGAGUUAUUCCCUCAAAUUCUUAACCCAUUAAAUUCUAAAUUCAAGGUCAAUCAAGUAACUCAAUUUAAUUAUAAAGAUGAAAUAAAAAAUAAUAAUUUAAAAAACUUGCUAAGAUUAAACAUUAACAAUCAAAAAAAUAAUGAUAAAAUAUGAUAUGCGCGCCAUUAUAAUGGAGGAUGAAAUUGUAAAAAAUAUAAUUUUAAAAAUCAUUCAAAAUAAAAUAAAUAUCAAUAAAAAAAUGAGGACCAAAUCUGAAAUGAAAUAAAUUGAUUAAUAAUGAAAUAAAAAAAAUUCAAUUCUAUAAACUAAUUCAAAUAAAAACUUAGCAAUUAAAAUAAUAGUGACAAAAUCCUAAAGAGAAAGAAAUUGAUGGUUGUUGUGAAAUGUUGCAAGGGAAGGCAUGGAAACCAAAAAAAAAACAAAAAACAAAAAAAACAAGUGGAAAAAAAAAAGUCAAUCACAACCAAACCAUUGGGCAUUAAUCCAUAUACACCGUCGGUGAAGUAGCCCCCGUCGUUUCAAAUAAAAAAAAUAACAAGAUGGUUUUUCUUCAUCGUGAGCCACCACCAACGUUGUUCAAAGACGACGAGGGGACCCACUCUUUAGCGCACUCUAUGAAUGUGCUAGCGGCUUUUUCUUUUUCUUUUUUAUUAUUUGUUUAUUAAUUAAAUGACCAAAUCAUCCCUAAGACAAUAUGAUAAUUGCAAAAAAAAAACAACAACUCAAUGUGAAAUGACUAGCAUGCCCCUAAAGUCAGGCCUAAGAUAUUUUUAUUUCAAUAGCAAUAGAGUACUGACAUUGUGCAUGCAAAAAAGAAAUAUAAAAAAAAGCUUUGGGUCAAAUGUUUUUUUUAUUAUUAUUUUAAGGGUUACCAACUAAUUUAACUAAGCAAAAAAUUGUGAAAAGAAUGAGAUGUUCCCAACAAAUCUAAAAUGACAAAGGAGCCUAGAGAAAAGAUUAUUUUACCCUUGAAAGACAACUUUGUGUAUUUUUUGUGAAGGGUAAAGACUUUAAUGUACUAUUAUAAUCCAAGGUAAUUAAAGGCAUAACUACAAUGUUUUUCCCCACACAGUUUAAGUUCUGUUAAUAAUAAAACCUAAACUGAAAAUCCAUCUUGUCCAAAAUUCAAGUUAUUGAUAGGUAGGUUAACUCAAAUUAAUAUAAAUUUACUAGAUCCAAAAUCCAGGUGAUUGGUCGAGUAAGUUAACCUUAUUUCACCCCAAUAAUUUUUUUAAAUUGAAAUAUCAUCAUAUUAAAAUUUUUUAAAUGAAAAACAAACUUGAAAUGACAUGGUUUUGAAAAUAAAAACAAUUUUUUCCCCUCAAACUAACCCAAAUUAGAUUCCAGAUCAAUGAAUCACCAAGUUAACUCGAGAUAUAAUAUAACCAGUCCCAGAUGGACAAAGAUAACUAGGCCUAUGGAUAAAGGAAAAAUAAAGAACAAAAAUUGUGGGAUGAAAAAGAAAAGGAAAGGAAAAUAUAUCAUAGCAUAUCUUCUCCAUUAAAUUUAUAAUCAUUGUUUAUUAUUCAUGUUUUUAAUCAAAAUAUUUUUUAUUAGUAGGAUUUUUUUUAAUUAAAAAUAAAAGUAAUUAAAAUAAGUUCGUGUAAGAGUUUGAAUGAUUUAAAAUAACCAGGAAAAACCAUCAACUAUAACUAAAACCGAUAAGUGUAUCACUGUAGCGUUGACUAUUAUUCACUGUGAUUGCACUGUUCUAUACUAUAGCAGCCUUAUGAGAGCUUUCAUUGUGGACUGUGAGAGCUUUCACUACAGACUGCACUGUUUGGUCAUUGUGGCGCAGACUACUAUGCAAUGUGAGUGAAUUCAUUGUGGAUUGCACUAAUCUGCACUUUUGCGGCCUUGUGAGUGCUUUCACUAUGGACGACACUGUUUGGUGGGGGCAUUUGUAAGGCUUCAGCCAGCAGCCCUAAAUGCCAGGCUAGAGGCACGCCCACUAGGAAUGCGGACACCUGGCGCUUGGUUGCCAGGCCUCCACGUUGGGAAGGCCACACCCCAGGCUACAACCACCUAAGGCUCGGUAUGUCCGGCCUUGGGUGCUUGGGUUGUCUGCUUGUGUGUGGGGAAGACCAAGCGCACACAUGGUGCUUGGGUUGAUGCCUUUGUGAGAAAUAUUAUUAUUUUAUUAUAGUGAAUAUAAUUAAUAACUUUGAAAGAAAAUAUUAUUACUAAUAUUGAAAACAUAUUAUUAUUUAUAUUAUAAAUUUUUAUGAUAUUUUUUAUAUAAAAAAAAGUGAGCCCAUGACGCACUAUUAUUAAAAAUAUUCAACAAUUCUAAGUAUUAAUAUAUAAAAUAUUAUAAUUUGUGUCGUAAGUAUUAUUAUUUUUCUUCUAAUACAAAGUAUUCAUCUAAAAAAUAUUAUCAUUUGUGUUUUAAAUAUUAUUAUUUUUCUUAUAAUUCAACCCCAUGUUGUGUUUGGAUGCGUUCGCGCCCAACCACACGUUGUAACUGGACACGUCCAUGCCCAACACGUGUUGAACCUGGAUGCGUUCGUGCCUACCCCACAUUGGGACUCAACGCGUCCACGCUCAACCCCGUGAUGGGGGGGGACGCGUUCACGUCCACCUCCACUUUGGGCCUGGACACGUCCUAGCCUAGAUUCGCGGUGGACUUGACGCGUUCAUGCCCAUCCCACGUUGGGGCUCAACGCAUAUGUGCCCGACCCUGCGUUGCAUGUGGAGGCGUCCACGUCCACCUCCAUGGUGGGCCUGGAUGCGUCCCCGCUCAAUCCCAUGUUGGGUCUGGAUGCGUCCCAGCCCAACACGACGUUGACCUUGGAAACGUCCAUGCCCAACCCUAUGUUGGGUCCAGACACGUCCACGCCCAACACCGGGUUGGGGUUGGACCCGUCCACGCCCAACCACAAGCUGGACCUGGACACAUCUGCACCCAACCCCGCGUUGGACCUGGACACGUCCCCGCCCAACUCCAAGUUAGACCUAGACGCGUCUCCGGCCAACCCCACAUUGGUUUUCUUAUUAUAGUAAUUUGUGUUAUAUUAUUAAUAUUGAAAACAUAUUAUUAUUCAUAUUAUAAUUUUUUAUGAUAAGUUUUAUACAAAUAAAAAGUGAGCUCGUAGCGCAGUAUUAUUCAAAAUAUUCAACAAUUCUAAGUAUUAAUAUAUAAAAAAAACAUUAUAAUUUGCGUUGUAAAUAUUAUUAUUUUUCUUCUAAUACAAAGUAUUCUUAUCAAAAAUAUUAGUAUUUGUGUUCUAAUUAUUAUUUUUAUAUAUAAUUCAAAGUAUUCAUAUGAAAAUAUUAUUAUUUAUGUUCUAAAUAAUAUUAUUUUUGUUAGAUUUCAACGUAUUCAUAUCGAAUAUAUUAUUAUUUGUAUUAUAAUAUAAUUAUUUUUAUAAUAAUUCAAAGUUUUAAUAUAAAAAUUUAUUAUUAUUUGUGUUAUGAAUAUUAUUAUUUUUACUAUAAUCAAAAGUAUUAAUAUUAAAGAUAUUAUCUUUUGUGUUAUAAAUAUUAUUAUUUUUAUAAUAGUUAAUAUUAUUAAUAAAAUAAUUAAUAAAUUAGAAAAAAAAUUAUUCUUAAUAUUGAAAAACAACCAUAGAUUUGAUUUGAAACUUAAAUUUAAAAAUUACUAAUAUUAUUAUCAUCAUCAUCAUUAUCAUUAAAAAAUUUAAAAAAUUGUUAUUACCAUCGAAGAAAAACCAGGUGGCGACAUGUGGUGCUUGUGUUGAUGCUUGUGUGCUAGGUAGGCCCCAACGCACACGUGGCGCGUGGUAACAAGCACCCAAGCCCCCAAGUGUUGACACCUGGCGCUUGGGCGGACGCAUCCACACUCAACCCCACGUUGGGUCUAGACGCGACCACGACCACCUCCAUGUUGGAUCUGAACGCGUCCAGGCCCCACCCCACCUUGGGAUGGACGUGGCCCCGCCCAACACCAUGUUGGGUCUGGACGCGUCCCCACCCAAAGCCAUCUUGGCCGUGGACACGUCCACGCCCAACGCGCCUAGCCAUACAUUGGACCUGAAGGCGUCCGCACCCAAUCCCAUGUUGCUUGUCUUAAUAUAAUAGUGUUAUAAAUAUUAUUAUUUAUCUUAUAAUUCAAAUUUUUCAUAUCAAAAAUAUUAUUAUUUGUGUUAUAAAUAAUAUUAUUUUUAUUAUAGUUCAGAGUAUUGAUAUAAAAAAAUAUUAUUUAAUUAUUUAUAUAAUAAAUAUUAUUUUUUUAUAAUUCUAAAUAUUCAUAUUAAAAAUAAUAUUAUUUGUGUUAUAAAUAUUAUUAUUUUUAUUAUAAUUAAUACUAUGAAUAUCAAAAAUAAUAUUAUUUGUGUUAUAAAUAUUAUUAUUUUUAUUAUACUUAAUACUAUGAAUAUUAAAAAUAUUAUCAUUUGUGUUAUAAAUAUUAUUAUUAUUUUUAUUAUUAAUAAAAUAAUUAAUAAAUUUGGAAAGUUAUUAUUAUUAUUAAAAAUAUUAUUUUUUUGUAUUAUAAAUUUUUACAAUAUUUUUUAUGAAAAUAAAAAGUGCGGGCAUCCAACUACAGAAUCCAAAAUAGCCUUGGGUCAUUGGUUGUGCAAGAGCCAACGUAAACUUGGGUCAUGCACAAAUAACGUUGGAUCCUACAACCAUUAUGACCCAACUUUUUUGUGAAGAUAAAAGGUGAGCUUGCGACGUAGCGCGGGCCACCUAACUAGUAUUUAUUAAAUCUAAACUAUAUUUAUUUAUUAUUGUAUUUUAUUUAAGAAAAAUAAGUUAUUUUAUUAUAAGUAUUGUUUCUUAAAUUAAAACAAAUCAAAUCACAAUCUUGAAAGAAAGUUUUAACAAAAUAAAAUUUGAAAAUUAUAUCUAAAAAAAUAAGAAAAAGAUUAAUCUAAUUUUUUUUAUUAAUUUAUAAUAAAGAAUUACAAAGUAGAAAUCUUAUAUUUAUUGAAUAUUUAUAAUCACAAAUUUAAAAAUAAUUGAUCCAGAGUUGAACUUGUUACCGUUGAUGGUAAAAAAGAAGAAGAAGCGGGCCUAACUUUGUUGCUGACUGAUAGGGGGUAUAUGCUAUAUGCUAUGUUUUGCUCUUUCUUUUCUUUUCAGUGUCCUAGAGGCGGCUUUUCUGCUUGAAAAUGUUCAUGCAUUUUCUUGUUUUUUUCUCAUAUGUGAGCUUCAUUAUUUCCCACUGUUUUCUUUAAAGAUAUCAGUAGGCAUAACAUCAAUGUUUUUUUUUUUUUUUUUCACAUGCUUUCUCUAUUCAAUAAAAUAACUAUUAAAAAUACCUCUCAUUUUAAUCUUAUCCGACGAAGGAAAGGAAGAGGACAAAAGAUGUGGGGGUGCAAAAGAAAAGGAGAACAGAGAAGAAUAUAUAUAUAUAUAUUCUACAUUUUAACUUGUUUUAAUAUUCUAUAGGAGUCAAAAAGAAUAGUAGAAGGAAAACAAAGAGAGGAAGUAUUAACCUUUCAAAUGCUAAUAUUGACACUAAGGAAAUGUUAUAGAACAAAAAUAAAACGCUGCACAUCAAAUGUUUUUAAGAAAUUAAUGGAUUCAGAUAUACAAUAUGAUUAUAUGAUGUUAUUAAUUUAUACUUUGCCUUUGAACAUGGAUAACACAUUACAUUUCAUUGAUCCGUUACUUUAAUUAAAAACCCAGCAACGCCAUGAGGGAAAAAAAAAGCAAGAAAGAGAUGAAUAAGAAUGCAAGAUUUUUUUUAUUAUUCGGUGGGGCAGCACAAUCAUACAAUUGCCAAAUAUUUUGAAAAGAAGGUCACAUGCUAGCAUGAGUAAGAAAUGAGAAGGUAAACUUUUAAGGUGUAAACUAAUUAGCUAAGUUUUGGGUUUAUGUUUUAGAAGUAUUAGGUUGACUAUUAUAAAUCUCGCGACUAUUAAAGAUUUACAUAGUUAUUAAUUUUAGAAUCUUGAAGAAUUAGUUAAGGUACAUGUAAAUUGACUCGAACAUUCAUGAUUUUUAAAAAAAUCAUAAUACAAGAAAUUAGAAAGUUUCUCUUAUUUUUUUUACAGUUCGGUCAUAGAAAAAAUAAAAAAUAAAAAACCAAUGCAGAUUAAGAGAGCGUUUGGAAAUGCGGGUCAAUCUGUGUUUCCAAAAAAUUCACUUUUUAUUUUUGCUAAAAAUUAAUUAUGUUUUUAUGUUUUGAAUCGUUUUGAUGCACUAGUCUCAAAAAUAAUUUUUUAAAAAUAAAAAAAUAUUAUUAUUUUAAUAUAUUUCAGCAUGAAAAACAUUUUGAAAAGCAACCGCAACCACAUUCCUAAACAUCCAUUAAAUAUCUAAAUUAAACCAUACCAUUUACUUCAACACUCAAUAAACAUAAAAAUAUUCAAAAUCCAAUAUUCUUUACUUGUCCAUUAUGACCCUCAGGUUAAUAAAACACUCUUUCUCCAUGCUUGGGAACAUCCACAAGUGGAACUAUCCAUGCCUUCCAUAACUCUAUAUUAUCCUAGAACCAAAAAGUCAAUUUUCAUAGAAAACAAACAAAAUAAAUAAAUAAAGUCAUUUCACACUUCACCUUCAUUGUUCCCCAGUGGAAUUUACCAACCUCCUCUUCCUAUUCCUCGAUUCGUAGCCAUCACUUUUUAAAACCCACCAAGCAACAAAAGCAGCAGCCAAAGUCGACAAUAACUUGAAGAAUCGUGCUUUCAAAAUAGAGACGUGCGAGAGAAGAAAAAUGCGAGACAACCAGAGAGGCAGAAGCGGGGUUGACUAUGAAAAGGGCUUUGGUGGACAUCGAGAGAGAAAGGG